RNAcentral lists this ribosomal RNA (253 nucleotides) under uncultured bacterium. RNAcentral's name for it is "partial 16S ribosomal RNA". It matches the Rfam family "Bacterial small subunit ribosomal RNA", at positions 524 to 776 of the family's 1533-position model. The record is from RNAcentral.
UACGUAGGGUGCAAGCGUUGUCCGGAAUUAUUGGGCGUAAAGGGCUCGUAGGCGGUUUGUCGCGUCGGGAGUGAAAACCCAGGGCUUAACCCUGGGCUGGCUUCCGAUACGGGCAGACUAGAGGUAUGCAGGGGAGAACGGAAUUCCUGGUGUAGCGGUGAAAUGCGCAGAUAUCAGGAGGAACACCGGUGGCGAAGGCGGUUCUCUGGGCAUUACCUGACGCUGAGGAGCGAAAGUGUGGGGAGCGAACAGG